GACGAACGCUGGCGGCGUGCUUAACACAUGCAAGUCGAACGGAAAGGCCCUGCUUUUGUGGGGUGCUCGAGUGGCGAACGGGUGAGUAACACGUGAGUAACCUGCCCUUGACUUUGGGAUAACUUCAGGAAACUGGGGCUAUUACCGGAUAGGAGCUCCUGCUGCAUGGUGGGGGUUGGAAAGUUUCGGUGUUGGUGGCUUGUAUAGCGGCUUCUCAGCUUGAUGGUGGGGUUGUGGAUUCCAAAGGCUUUGAAGGGUAGGCGGCCUGGGAGGGUGACCGGCCACAUUGGGACUGAGAUACGGCGCAGACUCCUACGGUAGGCAGCAGUCGGGAAUAUUGCACAAUGGGCGGAAGCCUGAUGCAGCAACGCCGCGUGCGGGAUGACGGCCUACGGGUUGUAAACCGCUUUCGCCUGUGACGAAGCGUGAGUGACGGUAAUUGGUAAAGAAGCACCGGCUAACUACGUG
Molecule: ribosomal RNA, 468 nt
Filed under: uncultured bacterium
Lineage: Bacteria
Description: partial 16S ribosomal RNA
Rfam family: Bacterial small subunit ribosomal RNA
Source: RNAcentral